GAAGCUAGAUUGUUAUAGUCUGCUGCUGAUUUUCAUCCAAGUCAAAUUGGAUAGAGCAGCUAAUUUCUCACAGUGAUGAUAUUUUAAUUCCAAUCGUAUAAUAUCGUAUUUUAUGACAUAAUCUAUCACUUUAAUAUUCAUCCAGCUCACUUAAUAUUGAUAAUUGUUUUACAGACUGAAAUACUUUUUCUCAGUGCGUUGGAGUAGAAAGCGUUUUCCAAAUAGUCCAGUGAUAUUUUUGUGCUAGCAGUCUAGUAGGUUACAACUAGUUGGUAGACCUACCUGAUGACCGCAACUCACCAGUGACCUCUUCAUCGGACCACUGGACACAAAAUGGCGGCUUUUUGACAACAACGAAAACUUCGCUCAACCAGCGAUGUUGCAAAAAUCAGCUCAGCUUCAAUCACCCCCUCCCCACCGCUCCACACAUCUAUCAUCUAUUCAAGAUGACAUCGCUGUAUAACAGACGUCGCAUCAAACUCAGAACACUUUCUGACAUCAUACAUCAUCACCCAUCAAAUACUAUACAACGAUUUUCUAGUCGAUCAGUUUAUUAUGAAGUACAAAUUACAAAUUAAUAUACAAGUUAAUCAGUGAUAAUUUACCAAAAAUACGUCUAGUCGAGUGGUGCAUAAUUAUUUUCACCAAAGUAUUUGUGUGAAUUAAGUCUAGUGUAGUGGUAAAUUGCUCCAAAGGAAAUAUUUUGCCACCGAUAUAUCAUCACAGAGCUAAUUUGGGCUCACAUUUUUGUUUGACCUGUUGAAAAAUAACUUCAUUCUACUAAGUGACAUCUAAAUUUUUAUAAAGAGAGUGACAUCUCUACGAAUUUCGACAGUUCCGAUAAUUUCUUCCGGGUGCAGAUAUCUCAAAGAGUGAUUUAUAUCAUAAGAAACCAGUUUUCAGAUUUUAUUCGUCUUGCUAAAGGUGCGAAAAACGUACAAGUUUUUCUUCUAAUAAAUAAUACACAGUUGGAAUUUUUCGUAUCGUCAGUGAAACUCCCAUCUUAUAUCAACGUGUAUUAGCUCAAUUUUUUCGAAAACUUUCUACUGGCGAAUAUUGAAAGAUAUUUGAGAUUUAUCGAAAAUUUUAGUGCCUGUUUAUAGUGGAAAUAGGAUACAACCAGUGAGAACUACAAUAGUGCUUAAAUUUUUAAUCUGGGGUUCAAGUCAUACUUACAGAUUUUCAUACUGUUGCAUUUAAACGCAGUAUAAUACUUAAUUAUUCAAAACUUCACCUCCUAGUGAUUUGUUUCAUGAUCUAUAUCCAAUAUAGGCUUCCAAGAAUUUGAGCAGUAGCUUAUACUUGAUUUUCAUCAAUUC
This is a long non-coding RNA of Nilaparvata lugens (brown planthopper), 1319 nucleotides long. RefSeq lists it as uncharacterized. The record is from RefSeq and is a predicted model, not a curated record. The transcript has 2 exons. NCBI's taxonomy places the organism in Eukaryota, Metazoa, Arthropoda, Insecta, Hemiptera, Delphacidae.